GACGAACGCUGGCGGCGCGCCUAACACAUGCAAGUCGAACGAGCGAGAGGAGGUUUACUUUCUCAAGCGAGUGGCGAACGGGUGAGUAACGCGUGAGGAACCUGCCUCAAAGAGGGGGACAACAGUUGGAAACGACUGCUAAUACCGCAUAAGCCCACGACCCGGCAUCGGGUAGAGGGAAAAGGAGCAAUCCGCUUUGAGAUGGCCUCGCGUCCGAUUAGCUAGUUGGUGAGGUAAUGGCCCACCAAGGCGACGAUCGGUAGCCGGACUGAGAGGUUGAACGGCCACAUUGGGACUGAGACACGGCCCAGACUCCUACGGGAGGCAGCAGUGGGGAAUAUUGCACAAUGGGGGAAACCCUGAUGCAGCGACGCCGCGUGGAGGAAGAAGGUCUUCGGAUUGUAAACUCC
Molecule: ribosomal RNA, 410 nt
Filed under: uncultured bacterium
Lineage: Bacteria
Description: bacterial SSU rRNA
Rfam family: Bacterial small subunit ribosomal RNA
Source: RNAcentral